RNAcentral lists this transfer RNA (66 nucleotides) under Paradactylodon persicus (Persian mountain salamander). RNAcentral's name for it is "tRNA-Cys". Lineage: Eukaryota; Metazoa; Chordata; Amphibia; Caudata; Hynobiidae. The record is from RNAcentral.
AGCCUUGUAGUGUAAUGCACAUAAAAUUGCAAAUUUUAAAGGGAAAAAUGAGUUUUUCCAGGGCUU